Molecule: ribosomal RNA, 468 nt
Filed under: uncultured bacterium
Lineage: Bacteria
Description: partial 16S ribosomal RNA
Rfam family: Bacterial small subunit ribosomal RNA
Source: RNAcentral
GACGAACGCUGGCGGCGUGCUUAACACAUGCCAGUCGAACGGAAAGGCCCUGCUUUGGUGGGGUGCUCGAGUGGCGAACGGGUGAGUAACACGGGAGUAACCUGCCCUGGACGUUGGGAUAACUUCAGGAAACUGGGGCUAAUACCGGAGAGGAGCUCCUGCUGCAGGGUGGGGGUUGGAAAGUUUCGGCGGUUGGGGAUGGACUGGCGGCUUAUCAGCUUGUUGGGGGGGUAGUGGCCUACCAAGGCUUUGACGGGUAGCCGGCCUGGGAAGGUGACCGGCCACAUUGGUCCUGCGAUACGGCCCAGACUCCUACGGGGGGCAGCAGUGGGGAAUAUUGCACAAUGGGCGGAAGCCUGAUGCAGCAACGCCGCGUGCGGGAUGACGGCCUUCGGGUUGUGAACCGCUUUCGCCUGUGACGAAGCGUGAGUGACGGUAAUGGGUGAAGAAGCACCGGCUAACUACGUG